ACAAGCGGUGGAGUAUGUGGUUUAAUUCGAUGCAACGCGAAGAACCUUACCUGGUCUUGACAUCCCGGAGACCCUUAGGAAACUAGGGGUGCUUCCAUCUGGAAGAAUCUGGAGACAGGUGCUGCAUGGCUGUCGUCAGCUCGUGCCGUGAGAUGUUGGGUUAAGUCCCGCAACGAGCGCAACCCUUGCCUUCGGUUGCCAGCAGUUCGGCUGGGCACUCUAAAGGGACUGCCGGUGUUAAACCGGAGGAAGGUGGGGAUGACGUCAAGUCCUCAUGGCCUUUAUGACCAGGGCUACACACGUACUACAAUGGCCGAUACAAAGGGCAGCGACACUGCGAGGUGAAGCCAAUCCCGUAAAAUCGGUCUCAGUCCGGAUUGGAGUCUGCAACUCGACUCCAUGAAGUUGGAAUCGCUAGUAAUCGUGGAUCAACAUGCCACGGUGAAUACGUUCCCGGGCCUU
Molecule: ribosomal RNA, 462 nt
Filed under: uncultured Desulfobulbus sp.
Lineage: Bacteria; Pseudomonadati; Thermodesulfobacteriota; Desulfobulbia; Desulfobulbales; Desulfobulbaceae
Description: bacterial SSU rRNA
Rfam family: Bacterial small subunit ribosomal RNA
Source: RNAcentral